Molecule: long non-coding RNA, 1819 nt
Organism: Magnolia sinica
Lineage: Eukaryota; Viridiplantae; Streptophyta; Magnoliopsida; Magnoliales; Magnoliaceae
Exons: 7
Source: RefSeq, a predicted model, not a curated record
GUACCCACGGCGGCUAAUCCGCUUCUGCGGGCUCGAAGGUCUCUCUCUUUCACAGCUGUAACACGCUCUCCUCUCCUCAAUUCUAACCUUCCAAAUCGUAAAAAAUCGCAUUCUUUGGCUGGAAUUUCUCGAGGGCUUCUUUCAUUUCAGCGGUUCUGCUUCUUAUCAUCUUCGAUCCAUAAGGAGUUCGACAAGCUAGAAAGGAUUUCCGCAAUCCGUUAUGAAUUUGAUGGAUAGGGAAGGAUUUUGAGGAAUUUUGGAUUGAUUUCUGGGAUUACAACUCUGAUCCGUCAGGAUUUGAGGGAUUCUUAGGUUUUCUCCCACAGAUCUAGUGAAUUUCUGAAGAGAAAGCUUGAGUUUAUAGCUUUUCGUGAGGGAUUCGAGGAAAAGGGAAGGGAUUUUUGCUUCCCUAUGUUCGAUCUGCAAGACAAAGGAUUCUAGGGUUUCAAUUUGAAUGGGGAGGUUUUAAGUGAGUCGUGGCAGCAACUGUUUAACUAAUCUCCUCAACACCAGCAAAGGACCCAUUGUUUGGUUGGGAAAUACCUUUUGUGGUUACUAAAACUAGACCAUGAUGGUGAUUGUUAUGGCCCUUGAUGGGUCUACCAAUGUUGUGUUGCAUUUGGUUUCCAUUGCUAGGUCUGGUGGUUGGUAGUUGACUCUUGAUGACUUUCAAAAGGAAAACAACUUCGUACAGAGAGUUGGACAUUAAAAAGAAGAGACUUAACCACCUGGAAAAAGCUGUAUAUGGACAUGACCUUGCAGAAGGAACUACAGGUGUUUAAAUCUUAAAAUUCAUCCUCUUCCCUUUUUCCUAGGGACAUAGCUCAGGCGGGAUGGGUUGGAUUGAGGGUCAACCCCAACCUGAAGGGGAUUGAACCUGCAAACCUGGCUCGCCCCGAAUUCCAAUCUGAAAUAUAGCCGAUGUCCUUUAUUCUUGACCUAACCCGACAUCAACCCAACCCAAACAUGUGAUUAUUCCCAACCCGACCUAACCUGACACAAAUUUGCUCAACGUGAACCCAACCUGAUGAUAACCUUGACAACCCGACCCAAACUUUGUUGCUUCAAUCGGAUCUGGGUUGACCUGAACCUGAGUUGCAGCCUUACUUCUACCUCUUUUCUUAUUUCAUUGGUAAUUUCCUAGAUGGCUAUUAUCAUGUAGUAAUUGCAUAGCAUUUAUUUAUUGAAAACACAAAAAGGGUCAGAAGCGGAAGCUCCGUGAACACAAACUUGCAUACCUGACUACCUGACCCAUCCACAAAUGGCGUACAGAGCGGAAGCGGUGAUCAGGUAUGGACAUGUUUCUGAGUGCAAGUUCCAGAGAGCUGUUUUUGUACAUUUGGAGAAUUUGAAAACUGAUAGAUGUAGCAAGAAAAAUCUGGCUGAAUUGAAGAAUGUGCUAAAACUGCAUGCAGAAUUCUGCUCUAGGAAUUUUUUUGGGUCUUCAUUGAAAAUUACAUUGUCUUUAUUCAUAUUAAGGGAGUAAGGCCAAAUUGCAAUGUCGAUACUCUAGGUGUGCAUGCUCAUCCUGAAUACUAAGGUAAUUCAUUGAGAAUUCAGAGGUUUGCUCGCUGGUUUUGAAGCUUCGGAUUCAACUGCAGUAAUCAUUUCAGGUAGUUUAAUCUAAACUACCUAAAGUUUAUUUCGUGAUCAAACUUUGGCUUAUACGUUAGUUUGAAUGUAAUUAUUAUCGUCAUUAAGAAUGUGAGAAUUAGCUUAUAGCUUGAAAGAUUUACCUCAUGAUUUGUGAGAAUUGAGAUAUAUAUUUUUUGUUAGCAUAGAUUUAAUUAUUGUAUCAACGUUCUUAAGAUUGCUUUUA